RNAcentral lists this transfer RNA (72 nucleotides) under Nephrurus amyae. RNAcentral's name for it is "tRNA-Met". The record is from RNAcentral. Lineage: Eukaryota; Metazoa; Chordata; Lepidosauria; Squamata; Carphodactylidae.
AGUAAAGUCAGCUAAUCAAGCUUUCGGGCCCAUACCCCGACAAUGUUGGUCUCACAAACCCUUCCUCUACUA